GUUUUACUAGGACGUUGGUGACUGCCAAUACUGUUUUUUGAUCUUUGUCCGUAAAAAAAAGGGAACUAAAUACUUUUUCUUGUAGCAGUAGACCGGGCAUGUACCCGGAAACUUUAAACGAGAUUACUUAGUACCCACCUGGUUUUCCAGGUCAUAAACUGAGGUAAAACGGCGUCUCGGUGAACCU
This 187-nucleotide non-coding RNA is filed under the name Symploca sp. SIO2C1. RNAcentral's name for it is "6S RNA". It matches the Rfam family "6S / SsrS RNA". Rfam says of the family: E. coli 6S RNA was the first non coding RNA to be sequenced, but its function was unknown until recently. It consists of 184 nucleotides that fold into an extended hairpin structure with a large single-stranded internal bulge. The record is from RNAcentral. Lineage: Bacteria; Bacillati; Cyanobacteriota; Cyanophyceae; Coleofasciculales; Coleofasciculaceae.